GGCUACAGUGGUGUAGUGGUUAGCACGCUCGCCUCGCACCCACAAGAUUGCUGGUUCAAGUCCACUCUCUGCCC
Pangasius djambal is the source of this 74-nucleotide non-coding RNA. The record is from the annotation of a GenBank genome assembly. Lineage: Eukaryota; Metazoa; Chordata; Actinopteri; Siluriformes; Pangasiidae.